GUGCCAGCCGCCGCGGUAAGACGGGAGAUGCAAGCGUUGUCCGGAUUUAUUGGGCGUAAAGAGCUCGUAGGCGGUUCAACAAGUCGGUCGUGAAAGUUCAGGGCUCAACCCUGAAAUGUCGAUCGAUACUGUUGUGACUAGGAUACGGUAGAGGUGAGUGGAAUUCCGAGUGUAGCGGUGAAAUGCGUAGAUAUUCGGAGGAACACCAAUUGCGAAGGCAGCCCACUGGGCCGCUAUCGACGCUGAGGAGCGAAAGCUAGGAGAGCAAACAGGAUUAGAUA
This 281-nucleotide ribosomal RNA is filed under the name uncultured bacterium. Its description in RNAcentral is "partial 16S ribosomal RNA". It matches the Rfam family "Bacterial small subunit ribosomal RNA", at positions 505 to 784 of the family's 1533-position model. The record is from RNAcentral.